RNAcentral lists this ribosomal RNA (433 nucleotides) under uncultured bacterium. RNAcentral describes it as "partial 16S ribosomal RNA". It matches the Rfam family "Bacterial small subunit ribosomal RNA", at positions 29 to 507 of the family's 1533-position model. The record is from RNAcentral.
AACGAACGCUGGCGGCAUGCCUAACACAUGCAAGUCGAACGAGACCUCCGGGUCUAGUGGCGCACGGGUGCGUAACGCGUGGGAACCUGCCCUUAGGUUCGGAAUAACUCCCCGAAAGGGGUGGUAAUACCGGAUAAUGUCUUCGGACCAACGAUUUAUCGCCUUUGGAUGGGCCCGCGUUGGAUUAGCUAGUUGUUAGGGUAAAAGCCUACCAAGACGACGAUCCAUAGCUGGUCUGAGAGGCUGAUCAGCCACACUGGGACUGAGACACGGCCCAGACUCCUACGGGAGGCAGCAGUAGGGAAUAUUGGACAAUGGGCGAAAGCCUGAUCCAGCACUGCCGCGUGAGUAAUGAAGGCCUUAGGGUUGUAAAGCUCUUUUACCCGGAAUGAUAAUGACAGUACCGGGAGAAUAAGCUCCGGCUAACUCCGUG